Molecule: transfer RNA, 72 nt
Filed under: Streptomyces thermoviolaceus subsp. apingens
Lineage: Bacteria; Bacillati; Actinomycetota; Actinomycetes; Kitasatosporales; Streptomycetaceae
Also listed under: 1 other name
Description: tRNA-Pro
Source: RNAcentral
GCUCGCCGAGCAGCGGACGCAGCGGGCCCGGGACGCCCGCGGCCCGAGGACGUCCGACUCCUUCGGCGAGCG